GAUGAAGAACUUAGCGAAAUGCGAUACUUGGUGUGAAUUGCAGAAUCCCGUGAACCAUCGAGUCUUUGAACGCAAGUUGCGCCCGAAGCCAUUAGGCCGAGGGCACGCCUGCCUGGGCGUCACACGUCGUUGCCCCCCCAUCUACUCCUUCGGGAUUGCGGGGGGCGGAUGAUGGCCUCUCGUGCGCCUCGUCGCGCGGUUGGCCUAAAUGCCAAGUCCUCGGCGACGCACGCCACGACAAUCGGUGGUUGCGAAACCUCGGUUGCCUGUCGUGUGCGGUCGUCGCGCAUCGAGGGCUCGAAAAAAUUGCCGGGCUUCGGCUCGACUUUCAACGCGACCCCAGGUCAGGCGGGGUUACCCGCUGAAUUUAAGCAUAUCAAUAAGCGGAGGA
This 391-nucleotide unclassified non-coding RNA is filed under the name soil metagenome. Its description in RNAcentral is "partial contains 5.8S ribosomal RNA, internal transcribed spacer 2, and large subunit ribosomal RNA". The stretch from base 1 to 122 matches the Rfam family "5.8S ribosomal RNA", at positions 35 to 154 of the family's 154-position model. The record is from RNAcentral.